UUUUGCAUACCAUUAACAAUAUGGUGACUGACGAAGACCGUAUACUGAUUUGUGAAGACGACAAGCCUGAUAUUUAAAAAUGUUAAACAUAAAUUUAGAGAUGUUUUACUUUAUUUUCAAUUUUUCCUAAGUAUUUUUUUUUCCUUUUUCAUAUAGCUAGGUCCAAAUAUUCUCAGUUACUUGGUCUCUAAGCUAAACAAUUCUUUAGUUUAUUGUCUUAGGGUUUUUGAAACAGAUGUAACUGGUUUGACCGGUUUUUUCUUGACAGUGGCGACGGAAGGUGGGCCUGGAAGGGUCGCAGUGGAAGAAGUCAUUGAAGUUGAGAAUAGGUGAUUGUCUGAGACGCUAAUAUACUCUUACCUAUGUAUCUAGAUAUUUGACCUAACACAAAUUGUUUUGGAUAUGUAGAUAUAUUACAAAUUAUUUAAAUCUUCA
This 435-nucleotide long non-coding RNA is filed under the name Capsella rubella. Its description in RNAcentral is "long non-coding RNA (CRUB_LNC000940)". The record is from RNAcentral. Lineage: Eukaryota; Viridiplantae; Streptophyta; Magnoliopsida; Brassicales; Brassicaceae.